GCAUUCUCUGGAUGCUAUUAUGGUGGAGGGGAUAAGGAGAGGACAGAACUGGGAAAGAUACGACGGAGGUGGAAAACUUUACAUAAUAGCAACCCAGAAAAGGCAAGGAGGCAAGGAAGAUGCCCUCUUACUCCUGAAGAAGUUGGAUUGAUGCUAAGAGCACUUGGAUAUGGAGAAGACGUUCAUAUUUACGUAGCAUCUGGUGAAGUGUAUGGAGGUGAAGAGACAUUGGCACCACUAAAGGCCCUCUUUCCAAACUUUUACUCAAAGGACACUAUUGCCAGCAAGGCAGAGUUAGAA
RNAcentral lists this unclassified non-coding RNA (300 nucleotides) under Hevea brasiliensis (rubber tree). Lineage: Eukaryota; Viridiplantae; Streptophyta; Magnoliopsida; Malpighiales; Euphorbiaceae. The record is from RNAcentral.